RNAcentral lists this ribosomal RNA (300 nucleotides) under uncultured Thermovibrio sp. RNAcentral describes it as "bacterial SSU rRNA". The stretch from base 52 to 300 matches the Rfam family "Bacterial small subunit ribosomal RNA", at positions 547 to 795 of the family's 1533-position model. Lineage: Bacteria; Pseudomonadati; Aquificota; Aquificia; Desulfurobacteriales; Desulfurobacteriaceae. The record is from RNAcentral.
GGAAGGGUGGGAGGGGCAGCGGGGGUAAGAGGAAGUGGGUGAGGGGUGAUGGGAAGCAGUGGGCGUAAAGCGCAAGUAGGCGGGUUGCUAAGUCAGGGGGGAAGUCCUGGAGCUCAACUCAAGAACGGCACUGGAUACGGGCGAACUGGAGUCCGGGAGAGGUGAGUGGAACGGCGAGUGUAGAGGUGAAAGUCGUAGAUAUUCGCAAGAACAGCAGUGGCGAAGGCGGCGCACUGGCCCGGUACUGACGCUGAGGUGCGAAAGCGUGGGGAGCAAACAGGAUUAGAUACCCGUGUAGUC